GAUGAAGAACGUAGCGAAAUGCGAUAAGUAAUGUGAAUUGCAGAAUUCAGUGAAUCAUCGAAUCUUUGAACGCACAUUGCGCCCGCCAGUAUUCUGGCGGGCAUGCCUGUUCGAGCGUCAUUUCAACCAUCAAGCCCCCGGCUUGUGUUGGGGACCUGCGGCUGCCGCAGGCCCUGAAAACCAGUGGCGGGCUCGCUAGUCACUCCGUGCGUAGUAAUACAUCUCGCUCAGGGCGUGCUGCGGGUUCCGGCCGUUAAAAAGCCUUAUUUACCCAAGGUUGACCUCGGAUCAGGUAGGAAGACCCGCUGAACUUAAGCAUAUCAAUAAGCGGAGGA
This 335-nucleotide unclassified non-coding RNA is filed under the name soil metagenome. RNAcentral's name for it is "partial contains 5.8S ribosomal RNA, internal transcribed spacer 2, and large subunit ribosomal RNA". The stretch from base 1 to 120 matches the Rfam family "5.8S ribosomal RNA", at positions 35 to 154 of the family's 154-position model. The record is from RNAcentral.